GAUUCCGUAGUGUAGUGGUUAUCACGUGUGCAUAACACGCACAAGGUCCCCGGUUCAAGCCCGGGUGGAAUCA
Molecule: transfer RNA, 73 nt
Filed under: Clytia hemisphaerica
Lineage: Eukaryota; Metazoa; Cnidaria; Hydrozoa; Leptothecata; Clytiidae
Description: tRNA-Val for anticodon AAC
Rfam family: tRNA
About the family: Transfer RNA (tRNA) molecules are approximately 80 nucleotides in length. Their secondary structure includes four short double-helical elements and three loops (D, anti-codon, and T loops).
Source: Rfam by way of RNAcentral